This 483-nucleotide ribosomal RNA is filed under the name uncultured bacterium. RNAcentral's name for it is "partial 16S ribosomal RNA". It matches the Rfam family "Bacterial small subunit ribosomal RNA", at positions 30 to 507 of the family's 1533-position model. The record is from RNAcentral.
UUGAACGCUGGCGGCAGGCCUAACCCAUGCAAGUCGAGCGGAUGAAGGGAGCUUGCUCCUGGAUUCAGCGGCGGACGGGUGAGUAAUGCCUAGGAAUCUGCCUGGUAGUGGGGGAUAACGUCCGGAAACGGGCGCUAAUACCGCAUACGUCCUGAGGGAGAAAGUGGGGGAUCUUCGGACCUCACGCUAUCAGAUGAGCCUAGGUCGGAUUAGCUAGUUGGUGGGGUAAAGGCCUACCAAGGCGACGAUCCGUAACUGGUCUGAGAGGAUGAUCAGUCACACUGGAACUGAGACACGGUCCAGACUCCUACGGGAGGCAGCAGUGGGGAAUAUUGGACAAUGGGCGAAAGCCUGAUCCAGCCAUGCCGCGUGUGUGAAGAAGGUCUUCGGAUUGUAGAGCACUUUAAGUUGGGGGGAAGGGCAGUAAGUUAAUACCUUGCUGUUUUGACGUUACCAACAGAAUAAGCACCGGCUAACUUCGUG